CGAAUAAGGAUAUUGUUGGUGUCCUUAACUCAAGAAAUUUAGUUUUCAAGUAUUUAUUCAUUAAAUUUGAAAACCCGGCGUGAUGAAUCAUAGAAUGUUUAGUGCACUCACUAAGAAGUAAGAUUAGCUUCACGAGACCUAUUAAGAAUAGAAUUUCUUGUAGGCUUUGUGACCAGGGGGAUUAGCGCUGCUUUCCCAAGACAGGUUUUUAUGUGUAUGAUCUUCAGGCUUUGCCUAUCCAGGUUGGCUGGCCGGUGCUGACGGGACGGAGCUGAGGCUAGAGAUAAAUUCCUAUGUUAGACUUCCGCUGUAGCAAUUACUCAUAUCAGUCUUUUAUUUUUUUUAACUUAAGAUCUUCAUGUUAAAUUUCAAAUGAUAUACCUGACCGAGCUUAGACUCUUCACUACUAAAUUUAUGCCAAUGAAUGUCGGUUGUCAGAAGCAUGAAACAAAACUUGUGAUCCAAAGGGGCAUAGCCCGACUCUCUAUCUUAUUAUUCGGGUUUUAACAAGGUUGUUCCUUGUUUAUUUC
Molecule: long non-coding RNA, 530 nt
Organism: Salvia miltiorrhiza (redroot sage)
Lineage: Eukaryota; Viridiplantae; Streptophyta; Magnoliopsida; Lamiales; Lamiaceae
Exons: 2
Source: RefSeq, a predicted model, not a curated record